AAGUCAAAUCCGGGGGGUCCCUGUCGAGGGGCUGAGAUGGCGCUUCCUAGCUCCACCACCCGCCGAACCUGAUCUGGCUCAUACCAGCGAAGGGAGAAGAACAUGACGCAGA
Molecule: non-coding RNA, 112 nt
Filed under: Solirubrobacterales bacterium
Lineage: Bacteria; Bacillati; Actinomycetota; Thermoleophilia; Solirubrobacterales
Description: TPP sequence
Rfam family: TPP riboswitch aptamer (THI element)
About the family: Vitamin B(1) in its active form thiamin pyrophosphate (TPP) is an essential coenzyme that is synthesised by coupling of pyrimidine and thiazole moieties in bacteria. The previously detected thiamin-regulatory element, thi box was extended, resulting in a new, highly conserved RNA secondary structure, the THI element, which is widely distributed in eubacteria and also occurs in some archaea. Analysis of operon structures identified a large number of new candidate thiamin-regulated genes, mostly transporters, in various prokaryotic organisms.
Source: RNAcentral